RNAcentral lists this ribosomal RNA (426 nucleotides) under uncultured bacterium. RNAcentral's name for it is "bacterial SSU rRNA". It matches the Rfam family "Bacterial small subunit ribosomal RNA", at positions 917 to 1344 of the family's 1533-position model. The record is from RNAcentral.
GGGCCCGCACAAGCGGUGGAGCAUGUGGUUUAAUUCGAUGCAACGCGAAGAACCUUACCAGGGCUUGACAUACUGCAGAUCUUUUUGAGAAAGAAGAGUGCCUUCGGGAACGCAGUGACAGGUGGUGCAUGGCUGUCGUCAGCUCGUGUCGUGAGAUGUUGGGUUAAGUCCCGCAACGAGCGCAACCCACGUCUUUAGUUGCCAGCAUUUAGUUGGGCACUCUAGAGAGACCGCCGGUGACAAACCGGAGGAAGGUGUGGAUGACGUCAAGUCAUCAUGCCCCUUACGUCCUGGGCUACACACGUACUACAAUGCUACGGACAAAGAGCAGCUAACUCGCGAGAGUACGCAAAUCUCAUAAACCGUGGCUCAGUUCAGAUCGUAGGCUGCAACUCGCCUACGUGAAGGAGGAAUCGCUAGUAAUCG